CCCGGUGAAAAGCACCGCCUGCUUUGGCGUACAGGCGGGCUGCUUUACGCUGUGUCUGCCGCACGAUUAGGGAAAAUCCUUGACCAGGCGCGUACUGAGAAAUAACGUGAAUCCCGAGGUCUGCUGCUGAAAAACUCGUGUAACCUGUGUAUGUUUUUUUUUUUUUCCUUGGGGCUUUUUGGGUGAAAAAGCGCUUGACCACCGAGGGAGAUGUGCGGAGAAUGGAAAGCGCUUGGGCAAGCAAAACAGGGGGACUAAACUUCACUAAGUUUCUCUGCUCUUCCUCUCCAUUUCGCCUUGAAAUUCCUCUCCGGAGAUUAUCCGCAGCAUCAACACCCCUGUAAACAAACCAGGAGGGGGCCCUAAGAAGAUCAUCAGUGAAGACCCUCCUCACGAAGCAUGCAAGUGUGUGUUCACCCCAUGUCUGUGCCUGACCUCCAUCCAACCUCCACCUGCACUUCCUGUUCAGAGUUGCCUGUAACACCUAUAUGGGACACCUGGACUGUUUCUUAAUACCAAGAACACAAAGAUUGUACUUGUGGCCUUGCCAAGAGAGGUUUUGGUAACUUGCCUCCCAAGAAUUAACUUGGGAUGGAAUGAAUCAUGGGAUUGAUUUCACUGGGCGAGGAUGCAACCGAUGGAUUGGGAUUGGUCUCGUUUGGCGUGGACGCAUCCUUGAUAUUUGGGGUGGGGCAAGAUCGACAUCCAGGGAUUUUUACCAUCCUCUAUACUUCUGUUCUUAGUAUUGGAACUGGUCCUUGGAAAUGGAAGAUGACAAAAAAUGGGUGAAUGAGAACACAAGUAAGGUCAAGUAACACCCCUGCACUUCUUGUUCAAAGCUGGUUAUAACACCUGUUUGAGACACCUGCACUUCCUGUUGACAGCUGGCUGUAACACCUGUAUUUCCUGUUGACAGCUGGCUGCAACACCCAUAGCAAGCAGCCACCUGCUGCAUGUUGUGUGCUAA
Molecule: non-coding RNA, 967 nt
Organism: Paramormyrops kingsleyae
Lineage: Eukaryota; Metazoa; Chordata; Actinopteri; Osteoglossiformes; Mormyridae
Source: RefSeq, a predicted model, not a curated record